GACGAACGCUGGCGGCGUGCCUAAUACAUGCAAGUCGAACGCUGAAGGAGGAGCUUGCUUCUCCGGAUGAGUUGCGAACGGGUGAGUAACGCGUAGGUAACCUGCCUGGUAGCGGGGGAUAACUAUUGGAAACGAUAGCUAAUACCGCAUAAGAGUAGAUGUUGCAUGACAUUUGCUUAAAAGGUGCAAUUGCAUCACUACCAGAUGGACCUGCGUUGUAUUAGCUAGUUGGUGGGGUAACGGCUUACCAAGGCGACGAUACAUAGCCGACCUGAGAGGGUGAUCGGCCACACUGGGACUGAGACACGGCCCAGACUCCUACGGGAGGCAGCAGUAGGGAAUCUUCGGCAAUGGACGGAAGUCUGACCGAGCAACGCCGCGGGAGUGAAGAAGGUUUUCGGAUCGUAAAGCUCUGUUGUAAGAGAAGAACGAGUGUGAGAGUGGAAAGUUCACACUGUGACGGUAUCUUACCAGAAAGGGACGGCUAACUACGUG
This 495-nucleotide ribosomal RNA is filed under the name uncultured bacterium. RNAcentral's name for it is "partial 16S ribosomal RNA". It matches the Rfam family "Bacterial small subunit ribosomal RNA", at positions 28 to 507 of the family's 1533-position model. The record is from RNAcentral.